Molecule: long non-coding RNA, 1363 nt
Organism: Cucurbita maxima (winter squash)
Lineage: Eukaryota; Viridiplantae; Streptophyta; Magnoliopsida; Cucurbitales; Cucurbitaceae
Exons: 4
Source: RefSeq, a predicted model, not a curated record
UCUCUUUUAACUCUUUCAGUGAAUUGAAUUUCCGGCAUGAAACAGCGAAUUUCAGGUGUUUUUGACCCAGAAUUUCAACAAAUUCUUAAUUAUAUGAGCUUGCACAAAUCCUCUUCGUUUGUUGCUUUGUUUAGAAGCAUUUUAGCUCCAUCGAGACUUUGCGCUUUAAUACAGAAAAUGAUUAGUAAUAUGCUAAAGUAUGUUUGUUGGGAUCCGUUCUUCUAAAUUGUAGGAAGUGGUGAAGGGAACAUAUAUUAUCAUCAAGUUUCUAGAUGUCCAGUUUAGUUUCAGGAGGCUGAUCUUGUAUUGGCGAUGUGCAGUUACUUCAGUCCUUUGAUGAAAUCGAUUACAAACAGAGGCCAAACUGAUUGUGCCAUGAAUGAGGAAGACCUUGAAGAGAAAGAUGAUCUUUCGACUCGAGAGUCUCGAUUCUUGUAUCCAACAGCUGAUACUCGGUCGACAUUAAGGGGUUGGAGACCAUCUUAUAGAGAUGCAUUGCUUUCAGUGAGAAAAAAAGUUAAACGUUCCUUGCUCAACCAAGUUGUCAUCUGGAGACCUUGAAGCAGAAAUCUUUCUUCAUUUGUUCCUGCAAGGUACUUCCCCUAAGCCUGUGGGUUAGGUAAAAAUUUUAUAUUCUUGAUUUGCUCAUCUAAAAUUUAGAUGUGUCGCUAUAUCUGAAGUUUCAUACAUGAAUCAAGUGCCUGUGUAAGUUGGUAAGUCAGAAAACUUUGUCCUUGCCCAUGUAGUGAAGAAUCAUUAUGGCAUUCUAACCUUGAAGAUAGUCUACAAAUUGGACUCAAUCUGUGCAAAGUGAAACUUUAGCAGCUACAGAUGGAGCAUCUGACCUGCAAUCCUUGAUAUUUAAGGUAUCGGUUUUAUAAAUCUUUUCCCCUCAAGAAGCUUUCCUCUUGUGUCAGCUUGCUAGGACAUUAUCUGGGAAGGUGUUCCAACAAGCGGCCAACCAUUGAAUUAAAAAGGAAAUCAUCAAAAAGGGUCUUGCUGGUGCUGCUUUAAGGUAUCUGGGUUUCAGAAGCACGAUGACUUUGCUCGGCCCAAUGAACUAACAAAAGGUUUUGGGGAACAUUUCUAGCGGAUGUGGUGAUUCAGAUGAUGGGAACUGAUUAUGCUGUAAUAUUUAGAGCAAUCCUGAACUGGGUCUAAUUGGGCUUUUCCUUCGGGCUUCCCUUCAAAGUUUUUAAAACACGUCUGCUAGGGAUAGGUUUACACACAUUUAUAAAAAAUGUUUUGUUCCUCUCUUCAAUAGAUGUGUGGAUCUCACAAUACACUCCCUUUCGAGGCCCAGCGUUUACGUUGACACAUUAUCCAUUGUCUACCCCCUUUGAGGUUCAGCGUCUUCGCUAGC